Molecule: unclassified non-coding RNA, 354 nt
Filed under: Hevea brasiliensis (rubber tree)
Lineage: Eukaryota; Viridiplantae; Streptophyta; Magnoliopsida; Malpighiales; Euphorbiaceae
Source: RNAcentral
AUUUUAUUUGGACAGAAAGAAGGAGUCUAAGAUGUUCAGAUAAGGUGUCGUUCUAAGUUCUAACCUAAACAAUACAAAGCAAAUGGACAAAAUGAAAAAUAUUAGUAAAUAAAAAAGUAGUGCCAUCCGUUCAAGCUGAGCAACAUUUAAAGAUGCUUGCCUGAAAGCCUCUGAAGCACAGGCCUACAAAGACAUUUUACUGAACUUUUUAACUCAAUUCAAUUUUGGAAGCACCGUUUUGACCCUACAACAUCAUGGUUUAGCCAAAAUUUUAUUUGAAAGUGGUGGAAAUGCUUUAAAGGCGGUGAUUAAGAUGUGUCUAAAAUGGCAGGUACGGUCACUUGACUUGGGAGU